GUGACAGUGGAGGCAGCGAGUGGAGUGGCACAGCUGCAAGGAAAGGAAUGCCAAGCAUGAUGCCAAGAAACAGGAAGAAUCCUCCCUGGAGCCUGCAGACAGAGCACGGCCUGCUGACACCUUUACUUCUGACUUCUGGUCUCCAGAACUCACCAGAGCGGACGUUUCAGCCCUUCCCACCUGGCGACUCUGUUUCCUAAUUGACUCCAAAUGCGGAGGAGAGCAACGACGUGCCUGAGAGCAACCCUGGGUCUGGUCUGGGUCUUGCAAUUACACCCUGAGCACCUAGAUGCACCAUAAGCAUUGAAUUCCUUUUACAGAGAGGGAAGAGUAGCUGCGGAGCAUAAAGUCACACAGCCUGCAAAAGUGGAGCUGGGAUUCAAAGGAGUGUUUUCAUGACUCAUGGCCUCUGACCUCUAGGGUCAAAGACAGACCCAGGGAGAAUGAGAAGUUAGGGUUUCUGCCAGCAGCCUUUGGUGCCCAGGGACCAGGCCCAGUGAGUACCCAGAACUCACCUUCUCCUGCCCUCCUCCCCAACCCCUUCUCAGCUUACUCCUACCGGAAGCCCUCCCUUGGGUAUCAUUUCCUACAGAGGAAGUCUCCUUUGUCCCUGGAAGUGCAAAUCUGGCUAUGAGAGGGACAGGCCUCUUGGGGGCUAUUGUGUGGCACUUCCUUCUUGGCAGUGGGCCUCGGCCCCUGGGCCCCUUUGCUGCCUGGCUGUCCAGGGUCUGAGCCCUCCCAGAGGCUCCCAAGGCUGGAAGAGCACUGAUGAAACAGCCAGUUAGUAGGUCAGAUGACUGUGACUUGGCUCCUGCCCUCAAGGAGAUAAGGGUGUGAUGAAAGACCUGAGC
This is a non-coding RNA of Microcebus murinus (gray mouse lemur), 851 nucleotides long. The record is from RefSeq and is a predicted model, not a curated record. NCBI's taxonomy places the organism in Eukaryota, Metazoa, Chordata, Mammalia, Primates, Cheirogaleidae.